ACAGCAGUCGCCGCGGUAAUACAGAGGGUGCAAGCGUUAAUCGGAGUUACUGGGCGUAAAGGGCGCGUAGGCGGUUAUAUAAGUGAGAUGUGAAAUCCCCGGGCUCAACCUGGGAACUGCAUCUUAUACUGCGUAGCUGGAGUGCAGUAGAGGGUAGUGGAAUUUCCGGUGUAGCGGUGAAAUGCGUAGAUAUCGAAAGGAACACCAGUGGCGAAGGCGGCUACCUGGACUGACACUGACACUGAGGCGCGGAAGCGUGGGGAGCAAACAGGAUUAGAUACCCGCGUAGUCCCUGUCUCUUAUAC
Molecule: ribosomal RNA, 305 nt
Filed under: uncultured bacterium
Lineage: Bacteria
Description: partial 16S ribosomal RNA
Rfam family: Bacterial small subunit ribosomal RNA
Source: RNAcentral